CCAUGGCCAGAGACUCUAGGACUCAGGUAAGGUACAAACAAAGAAACAUAAGAAGUGUGCAGCCUUCUAUGUUCAAUAAACUGUUAAAUAAUCUUUACUGUGUGUGUGUGUGUGUGUUGUGCAGCCUUAAUCAGAAGGGAAUUUAAAAAUAACAAAUUACUAAAUCAAACAUUAACCAAUAAACAAAGUAAAUUUAAAUAUAGCAAUAACCAAAUAAAUGGUGGUAGAAGCUAAACAUGAGGUGGGCUACGCACCCAUCACAAAUACACAUUACAACUACAACUACUAAUAAACCAAAUAAUGGCUUAUUUUCAGAUACAAAAGGUUUAAUUAGCAGGAAUAUUCAAUAAAUUUAAUGAACAAAUCUAAAAAUAAAAC
Carassius carassius (crucian carp) is the source of this 378-nucleotide long non-coding RNA. RefSeq lists it as uncharacterized. The transcript has 2 exons. Lineage: Eukaryota; Metazoa; Chordata; Actinopteri; Cypriniformes; Cyprinidae. The record is from RefSeq and is a predicted model, not a curated record.